RNAcentral lists this ribosomal RNA (253 nucleotides) under uncultured bacterium. RNAcentral describes it as "partial 16S ribosomal RNA". It matches the Rfam family "Bacterial small subunit ribosomal RNA", at positions 524 to 776 of the family's 1533-position model. The record is from RNAcentral.
CACGUAGGGUGCAAGCGUUGUCCGGAAUUAUUGGGCGUAAAGGGCUCGUAGGCGGUCCGUCACGUCGGGAGUGAAAACUCGGGGCUCAACCCCGAGCCUGCUUCCGAUACGGGCGGACUAGAGGUAGGUAGGGGAGAACGGAAUUCCUGGUGUAGCGGUGGAAUGCGCAGAUAUCAGGAAGAACACCCGUGGCGAAGGCGGCUCUCUGGGACGGUACUGACGCUGAGACGCGAAAGCUAGGGGAGCAAACAGG